Molecule: ribosomal RNA, 429 nt
Filed under: uncultured Desulfobulbus sp.
Lineage: Bacteria; Pseudomonadati; Thermodesulfobacteriota; Desulfobulbia; Desulfobulbales; Desulfobulbaceae
Description: bacterial SSU rRNA
Rfam family: Bacterial small subunit ribosomal RNA
Source: RNAcentral
CAACGCGAAGAACCUUACCUGUCUUGACAUCCCGGAGACCCUUAGGAAACUAGGGGUGCUUCCAUCUGGAAGAAUCUGGAGACAGGUGCUGCAUGGCUGUCGUCAGCUCGUGUCGUGAGAUGUUGGGUUAAGUCCCGCAACGAGCGCAACCCUUGCCUUUAGUUGCCAGCAGUUCGGCUGGGCACUCUAAAGGGACUGCCGGUGUUAAACCGGAGGAAGGUGGGGAUGACGUCAAGUCCUCAUGGCCUUUAUGACCAGGGCUACACACGUACUACAAUGGCCGAUACAAAGGGCAGCGACACUGCGAGGUGAAGCCAAUCCCGUAAAAUCGGUCUCAGUCCGGAUUGGAGUCUGCAACUCGACUCCAUGAAGUUGGAAUCGCUAGUAAUCGUGGAUCAGCAUGCCACGGUGAAUACGUUCCCGGGCCUU